GAAUUGAAAGCUAAUAAAUAUAAGCAACGACCUUGUAAGUCGAAGACAGAGAAUACCUCUCAAUUCU
RNAcentral lists this transfer RNA (67 nucleotides) under Amynthas morrisi. RNAcentral's name for it is "tRNA-Thr". The record is from RNAcentral. Lineage: Eukaryota; Metazoa; Annelida; Clitellata; Crassiclitellata; Megascolecidae.